RNAcentral lists this ribosomal RNA (253 nucleotides) under uncultured bacterium. RNAcentral's name for it is "partial 16S ribosomal RNA". It matches the Rfam family "Bacterial small subunit ribosomal RNA", at positions 524 to 776 of the family's 1533-position model. The record is from RNAcentral.
UACGUAGGGGGCAAGCGUUAUCCGGAUUCACUGGGUGUAAAGGGAGCGUAGACGGCCAUGCAAGCCUGGAGUGAAAGCCCGGGGCCCAACCCCGGGACUGCUCUGGGAACUGUGUGGCUGGAGUGCGGGAGGGGCAGGCGGAAUUCCUGGUGUAGCGGUGAAAUGCGUAGAUAUCAGGAGGAACACCGGCGGCGAAGGCGGCCUGCUGGGCUUUUACUGACACUGAGGCUCGAAAGUGUGGGGAGCAAACAGG